CCCCCACCAAAUAUACAGUGCUGUAUGUCAGUUGUAUCUUAAUAAACUGGAAGGAAAAAACAUUUAAGGGGGUAUAGCUCAGCGGUAGAGUGUGUGCCUAACAUGCACAAGGUCCUGGGUUCAAUCCCUAGCACUGCCAUUAAAAAUAAAUAAACCUAAUUACCUCUCCUAACCCCCCCACAAAAUAAAAGAUCACACAGAUAGUAGUAGUGAUGGUGCUCAGAUUUCAGCCAAGUCCCUUUGACUCCAGAACCUACACUCUUAACUGUGCCCUAAACUCUCCCCCAGGUCCUGUGGGAACAAAGACGGGAGUGACAGCACAUGCAAAGGCAUGAAGAAGUCACUGCAUCAGUGUGGCUGAAGCACAAGGUGCCACAGCAGGAGAGAAUGGCAGAGAUGAGCAGACCGCUGGGCAGGGCUGCUUCCUACUGCUGGGCCAGAAUCACACCCAUCAAAGUCACCAGAGGUUUUUACCGCACUGAGGGAGCCUGUGAGUGUGGGACCACAGCCUUGAGGCAUAAGGCUCAGGCCCCUUGUGGACAAGGACCAAUGGCUGUAUCCUCAGUGCUUGGCAUAAAGGAGGAACUCGGUAAAUAUUUAUGGUUGAAUGAGUGACUGAAAGUAGAUGAGUGCUAUUCAUUCAUUCAUUCAUUCUUCAUUCAAAUACCACAACAGAGCUGAACUUGGGGAGCUACAGAGUCAGAGAAGACCUCUUGGAGGAGGUGAUGCUGAAGCUGGGUCUCCAGGGACAAGUGGGAGCUAGGGAGGUCAGGGAAGAAGGGCACUGCAGGCAGAGGCAGCUGGGCAAAGGCAGAGAGUCAUGAAAUAGCUUGAAAGGCAAUUUGAACCCAGAUGUCCUAAAAGCCUUUGCGGUCAGCACAUGUGGGCAGAGUGCACUGUCAGCAUCAGACUCCUUGAACUUCCUCUCCUAACACUCCUACUGUGGGCAGGGGUCAUGUGUCUGUCCCUGAGUGCACCUGGCACCAGAACCCAGAUGUCAGCUGACUUUGCCAUAGACUUCCUAUGUGACCCAGGGGGCAAGUCAUUUCCCCUCCCUGCUCCCCCUUCUGCUAAGUGAGGCAAAUCAUGGCCCCUACUUCACAGGGAAGUUCUGGAGUAACAGUGUUACAUAGCAGGUAACAUUAUGCACAUUUGCGUUAGACAGAUCUGAGUUUUAGUUCCAAGUGAUUCUUACUAGCUGUGUGGCCUUGGCCAAGUUUUAUUCAUUAAUUAAUGCAUUCACUCAGUAUUUCAAUAAGUGCUGGCCAUCUUUUGUAUACUGGACAUUUAUAGAGCAGCGGGGAAAAAAGACACAAUUCCUGUUCUUGGGGAGCUCACAUUGUAAUGGGGAAGACAGAAAAUAAAUUUAUAUAUGCUAUGAUAGGGAGGAGUUAAGUGCUAUAAGUAACCGGUGGUAGGGUGCUAUAUUAAAAUAGGGGGGUCUGAGGAGGUGGCAUUUGAACAUAAACCCAGCGGAAGAGAGUGAGUAAACAGUGUGGUUGACUGUGAUAUCCAGGGAGGACAGUUCCAGGCAGGAAGAACAGCAAGAGCAAAGGCCCUGAGGUGGGAGCAGGCAAGGGGUGCUCCAAGAAGAGCUGGGAGGCCACAAGGAGGGAGAAGAAUGAAUGAGGAGCAAGUGGUAGGCAUUAAGAACAGAGAGGAGGAUGAUCCAGAUCACAUGUGGCUUCAGAGGCCACCAUGCGGACCUCAGGUUUUAUUCCAAAUGUGUUGAAAAGUCAGUGAUUUGGGGGCAGGUGAAUGACAUGUUCUGAAUUUUCUUUUGCUUACCUUUUUUUGAAAAAAAAAAAAAACUUUCUUAAGAUAUAACUGAUACAAUAAAUUGCAGAUAUUAAAAAUGUACAAUAUGAGUUUUGACAUAAGUGUAUACCCAUGAAGCCACCAAAAUCAACAUAAUGAACCUCUAUUAUUCCCAGAAGUUUCCCCAUGUCCUUCUUUAAUUCUUCUCUCCUGACUCCCACUCCCAAACAGCCCCCAUUUGCCACUAGAGAUUAGUUUGUAUUUUCUAGAAUUUUAUAUAAAUGAAAUCAUACAGUAUGCAGUCUUUGACUUC
Long non-coding RNA from Camelus dromedarius (Arabian camel), 2071 nucleotides. RefSeq lists it as uncharacterized. The record is from RefSeq and is a predicted model, not a curated record. The transcript is spliced from 3 exons. NCBI's taxonomy places the organism in Eukaryota, Metazoa, Chordata, Mammalia, Artiodactyla, Camelidae.